CGGACUGUAGGCUGCAACUCGCCUACACGAAGUUGGAAUUGCUAGUAAUCGCGGAUCAGCAUGCCACGGUGAAUACGUUCCCGGGUCUUGUACACACCGCCCGUCACACCAUGGGAGCUGGUAACACCCGAAGUCAGUAGUCUAACCGCAAGGAGGACGCUGCCGAAGGUGGGAUUAGCGACUGGGGUGAAGUCGUAACAAGGUAAC
Molecule: ribosomal RNA, 207 nt
Filed under: uncultured bacterium
Lineage: Bacteria
Description: partial 16S ribosomal RNA
Rfam family: Bacterial small subunit ribosomal RNA
Source: RNAcentral